Molecule: long non-coding RNA, 311 nt
Organism: Mytilus trossulus (common blue mussel)
Lineage: Eukaryota; Metazoa; Mollusca; Bivalvia; Mytilida; Mytilidae
Exons: 2
Source: RefSeq, a predicted model, not a curated record
UCAAGAACAAUGUUUUGCUGCUCUUUUUGCACCGACUGUAACUUAUUUAGAUAAGACAAAGACAGACGACUGUGACGUCACUAAUGCGACAAGUUGUGGGUUGAACAAGUGUUGUGUAUAUAAGAUUAUUAUCAACAGGUCGCAGAAUUCUAUUGUAGAAAGGAGGCAAAUAUGCCAGUCAACCAGAAUGGACGGGGAACUAUGUUUACUGAAUACAGAUCAUUUGAUAUGUCCUUGUCGUGAAGAAUACAUGUGCAAAAUAGAAAAUAACAACAAUUUUGGACAUUGCAAAUAAAAAAGAUCACAAUUAA